RNAcentral lists this non-coding RNA (124 nucleotides) under uncultured Coprococcus sp. RNAcentral's name for it is "FMN riboswitch (RFN element)". It matches the Rfam family "FMN riboswitch aptamer (RFN element)". From Rfam's summary of the family: The RFN element is a highly conserved domain that is found frequently in the 5'-untranslated regions of prokaryotic mRNAs that encode for flavin mononucleotide (FMN) biosynthesis and transport proteins. This element is a metabolite-dependent riboswitch that directly binds FMN in the absence of proteins. Lineage: Bacteria; Bacillati; Bacillota; Clostridia; Lachnospirales; Lachnospiraceae. The record is from RNAcentral.
AUUCUUCGGGGCGGAGUGAAAGUCUCCACCGGCGGUAUUUAGCAUGGAAGCUAUAAGCCCGCGAGCCGCAUGGCAUGACCUGGUGAGAAUCCGGGGCCGACAGUAUAGUCUGGAUGUGAGAAGU